RNAcentral lists this ribosomal RNA (494 nucleotides) under uncultured bacterium. RNAcentral describes it as "partial 16S ribosomal RNA". It matches the Rfam family "Bacterial small subunit ribosomal RNA", at positions 28 to 523 of the family's 1533-position model. The record is from RNAcentral.
GAUGAACGCUAGCGGGAGGCCUAACACAUGCAAGCCGAGCGGUAUUGUUUCUUCGGAAAUGAGAGAGCGGCGUACGGGUGCGUAACACGUGUGCAACCUGCCUUUAUCUGGGGAGAGCCUUUCGAAAGGAAGAUUAAUACUCCAUAAUAUAUUGAACGGCAUCGUUUAAUAUUGAAAGCUCCGGCGGAUAGAGAUGGGCACGCGCAAGAUUAGCUAGUUGGUGAGGUAACGGCUAACAAAGGCGAUGAUCUCUAGGGGGCCUGAGAGGGUGAUCCCCCACACUGGUACUGAGACACGGACCAGACUCCUACGGGAGGCAGCAGUGAGGAAUAUUGGUCAAUGUGUGCAAGCCUGAACCAGCCAUCCCGCGUGAAGGACGACUGCCCUAUGGGUUGUAAACUUCUUUUGUAUAGGGAUAAACCUACCCUCGUGAGGGUAGCUGAAGGGACUAUACGAAUAAGCACCGGCUAACUCCGUGCCAGCCGCCGCCGUAA